Molecule: ribosomal RNA, 461 nt
Filed under: uncultured bacterium
Lineage: Bacteria
Description: bacterial SSU rRNA
Rfam family: Bacterial small subunit ribosomal RNA
Source: RNAcentral
CCAGACUCCUACGGGAGGCAGCAGUGGGGAAUAUUGCACAAUGGGGGAAACCCUGAUGCAGCGACGCCGCGUGAGUGAAGAAGUAUUUCGGUACGUAAAGCUCUAUCAGCAGGGAAGAAAAAAAGUCCUUUGGACUUUGGACGGUACCUGACCAAGAAGCCCCGGCUAACUACGUGCCAGCAGCCGCGGUAAUACGUAGGGGGCAAGCGUUAUCCGGAUUUACUGGGUGUAAAGGGAGCGUAGACGGCAGCGCAAGUCUGGAGUGAAAGGCCGGGGCCCAACCCCGGGACUGCAUUGGAAACUGUCGGACUAGAGUGUCGGAGAGGCAAGUGGAAUUCCUAGUGUAGCGGUGAAAUGCGUAGAUAUUAGGAGGAACACCAGUGGCGAAGGCGGCUUGCUGGACGAUGACUGACGUUGAGGCUCGAAAGCGUGGGGAGCAAACAGGAUUAGAUACCCUAGUA